CUACCCUUCAAGCUUUGCUUGGUAUUGGGCAUUAUUAUCUUUUAAGAGGUAAUAGGCCUUAAAUAUAGCCGGCGGCAAGCACUAGUCCCAAGCGUAGCAGUAAAACAUUUCGCUUUAGGAGUCUAGAGUAUUGUCUACCGCAUAGUAUCUUUUACUAUA
RNAcentral lists this unclassified non-coding RNA (159 nucleotides) under uncultured Dothideomycetes. RNAcentral's name for it is "sequence contains ITS2". Lineage: Eukaryota; Fungi; Ascomycota; Dothideomycetes. The record is from RNAcentral.